Molecule: ribosomal RNA, 205 nt
Filed under: uncultured bacterium
Lineage: Bacteria
Description: partial 16S ribosomal RNA
Rfam family: Bacterial small subunit ribosomal RNA
Source: RNAcentral
UACGUAGGGUGCAAGCGUUAAUCGGAAUUACUGGGCGUAAAGCGUGCGCAGGCGGUUUUGUAAGUCUGUCGUGAAAUCCCCGGGCUCAACCUGGGAAUUGCGAUGGAGACUGCAAGGCUAGAAUCUGGCAGAGGGGGGUAGAAUUCCACGUGUAGCAGUGAAAUGCGUAGAGAUGUGGAGGAACACCGAUGGCGAAGGCAGCCCC